RNAcentral lists this transfer RNA (73 nucleotides) under Streptomyces hydrogenans. RNAcentral describes it as "tRNA-Gly". Lineage: Bacteria; Bacillati; Actinomycetota; Actinomycetes; Kitasatosporales; Streptomycetaceae. The record is from RNAcentral.
CCGCCGGUGGCGGGGACGUGGGCGGAGCUGCCGGUGCCGUGGACGGUGCCGUUCGAGUCGGUCCAGUCGGCCA